GAGGGAAAGGUGAAAAGAACCCCGGGAGGGGAGUGAAAGAGAACCUGAAACCCUAUGUUUACAAGCAGACAAAGCACGUUAAAGUGCGAUGUCGUACUUUUUGUAGAACGGUCCAGCGAGUUAUUGUAUAUGGCAAGGUUAAGUACUAUGUAAGGUACGCAGCCGAAGCGAAAGCGAGUGUUAAUAGCGCGUUUAAGUCAUAUAUAAUAGACCCGAAACCGGGUGACCUAUCCAUGGUCAGGAUGAAGCUAGAGUAAAAUCUAGUGGAGGUCCGAACUGAUUGUCGUUAAAAAGGCACCGGAUGAACUGUGGAUAGCGGAGAAAUUCCAAUCGAACUCGGAGAUAGCUGGUUCUCCUCGAAAUAGCUUUAGGGCUAGCCUUGAGAUAAAAAAUAGAUGGGGGUAGAGCACUGAAGGAGCUAGGGGCCUAACCAGGUUACUGAACUCUAUCAAACUACGAAUACCAUACUAUUGUUUCUCAGGAGUCAGACUGCGGGAGCUAAGUUCCGUGGUCAAAAGGGAAAGAGCCCAGAUCGUCAAUUAAGGUCCCAAAGAUAUAGCUAAGUGGAAAACGAUGUGAUUUUGCAUAAACAACCAGGAUGUUGGCUCAGAAGCAGCCAUUCAUUCAAAGAGUGCGUAAUAGCUCACUGGUCGAGUGAAGUUGCGCGGAAAAUUACCGGGGCUAAGCUAUACACCGAAAUUGCGGGUUCAUACGUAAGUAUGAGCGGUAGAGGAGCAUUCUGUUGUAGGUUGAAGUAUGACCGAGAGGACAUGUGGACGAAGCAGAAGAGAGAAUGCUGGAAUAAGUAGCGAGAGCAAGGUGAGAAUCCUUGCCGUCGAAAGUCUAAGGUUUCCUGGGGAAGGUUCGUCCGCCCAGGGUAAGUCGGGACCUAAGGAGAGGCCGAAAGGCGUAUCUGAUGGACAGCAGGUUGAAAUUCCUGCACUACGGAUAUACUUAAAAGAUGCAAGGGACGCAGGAGUGGAAGAUAAGCGAGGAAGAGGAAAGACUCGUAUCGAAAGAUAUAGUGAAAAUAUAAGUAACGAAUUAUCAAGAAGCACACUGACGAGAAAAGCUUGUAGAUAUUGUAUAAACGUACCCGUACCGCAAACCGACACAGGUAGAUGAGGAGAGGAUCCUAAGACGAACGGGAGAAGCAUUGUUAAGGAACUCGGCAAAUUGACCCCGUAACUUCGGAAUAAGGGGUGCCUAUGUAAAAGUAGGCCGCAGAGAAUAGGCCCAAGCAACUGUUUAACAAAAACACAGGUUUCUGCUAAAUCGAAAGAUGAAGUAUAGGAGCUGACGCCUGCCCAGUGCUGGAAGGUUAAGGGGAAAGGUUAGAUGUAAAUCGAAGCUUUGAACCAAAGCCCCAGUGAACGGCGGCCGUAACUAUAACGGUCCUAAGGUAGCGAAAUUCCUUGUCAGGUAAGUUCUGACCCGCACGAAAGGCGUAAUGAUUUGGGCACUGUCUCGACAAUGUACCCGGCGAAAUUGUAGUACUAGUGAAGAUGCUAGUUACCUGCGACAAGACAGAAAGACCCCAUGGAGCUUUACUGCAGCUUGAUACUGGGUUUCGAUAAUUUAUGUACAGGAUAGGUGGGAGACUAUGAGAUUAGGGCGUCAGCCUUAAUGGAGUCACCGUUGGGAUACCACCCUUAAGUUAUUGGAAUUCUAACUAUUGGUCAUUACCUGGCCAGAGGACAAUGUCAGGCGGGCAGUUUGACUGGGGCGGUCGCCUCCUAAAGAGUAACGGAGGCGCCCAAAGGUUUCCUCAGCGCGGACAGAAAUCGCGCGAAAGAGUGCAAAGGCAGAAGGAAGCUUAACUGAGAGACAGACAUGUCGACCAGAUACGAAAGUAGGGCUUAGUGAUCCGGUGGUUGUAAAUGGAAAUGCCAUCGCUCAACGGACAAAAGUUACCCUGGGGAUAACAGGCUUAUCUCCCCCAAGAGUUCACAUCGACGGGGAGGUUUGGCACCUCGAUGUCGGCUC
Molecule: ribosomal RNA, 1986 nt
Filed under: human gut metagenome
Description: bacterial LSU rRNA
Rfam family: Bacterial large subunit ribosomal RNA
Source: RNAcentral